AUUAAACGCUGGCGGCAUGCCUUACACAUGCAAGUCGAACGGCAGCACGGGGGCAACCCUGGUGGCGAGUGGCGAACGGGUGAGUAAAGCAUCGGAACGUGCCCUGGAGUGGGGGAUAACGUAGCGAAAGUUACGCUAAUACCGCAUAUUCUGUGAGCAGGAAAGCAGGGGAUCGCAAGACCUUGCGCUCUGGGAGCGGCCGAUGUCAGAUUAGCUAGUUGGUGGGGUAAAGGCCUACCAAGGCGACGAUCCGUAGCGGGUCUGAGAGGAUGAUCCGCCACACUGGGACUGAGACACGGCCCAGACUCCUACGGGAGGCAGCAGUGGGGAAUUUUGGACAAUGGGCGAAAGCCUGAUCCAGCCAUGCCGCGUGAGUGAAGAAGGCCUCGGUU
Molecule: ribosomal RNA, 392 nt
Filed under: uncultured bacterium
Lineage: Bacteria
Description: bacterial SSU rRNA
Rfam family: Bacterial small subunit ribosomal RNA
Source: RNAcentral